CCUACGGGUGGCAGCAGUGGGGAAUAUUGGACAAUGGGGGGAAUCCUGAUCCAGCCAUGCCGCGUGUGUGAAGAAGGCCCUCGGGUUGUAAAGCACUUUCAGUGAGGAAGAACGCCUGGUGGUUAAUACCCAUCAGGAAAGACAUCACUCACAGAAGAAGCACCGGCUAACUCCGUGCCAGCAGCCGCGGUAAUACGGAGGGUGCGAGCGUUAAUCGGAAUUACUGGGCGUAAAGCGCGCGUAGGUGGCUUGAUAAGCCGGUUGUGAAAGCCCCGGGCUCAACCUGGGAACGGCAUCCGGAACUGUCAAGCUAGAGUGCAGGAGAGGAAGGUAGAAUUCCCGGUGUAGCGGUGAAAUGCGUAGAGAUCGGGAGGAAUACCAGUGGCGAAGGCGGCCUUCUGGACUGACACUGACACUGAGGUGCGAAAGCGUGGGUAGCAAACAGGAUUAGAUACCCCGGUAGUC
Molecule: ribosomal RNA, 465 nt
Filed under: Vreelandella stevensii
Lineage: Bacteria; Pseudomonadati; Pseudomonadota; Gammaproteobacteria; Oceanospirillales; Halomonadaceae
Description: partial 16S ribosomal RNA
Rfam family: Bacterial small subunit ribosomal RNA
Source: RNAcentral